Molecule: ribosomal RNA, 869 nt
Filed under: Diptilomiopus octandrus
Lineage: Eukaryota; Metazoa; Arthropoda; Arachnida; Trombidiformes; Diptilomiopidae
Description: partial large subunit ribosomal RNA
Rfam family: Eukaryotic large subunit ribosomal RNA
Source: RNAcentral
AAAUAGUACUUUGCAGAGAGAGUUAACAGGGCGUGAAACCGUUAAUUGGCAAACGAAUCGGAGCCACGAAGUCGUUUCGCUGAGCUGGGUUGAGUUCAGCCCAGGACUGCUUCGGUGGUCUUGGGUGUAUUCUUGGCCUGGCCAUUGUAAGCGUACACUGCAACCAGUUAGACGAUUGAUGAUGGGCCCAGUUGCUCUGGUCAGUAGUAGCGCGGUGCAUUUCGGUGUAUUCGUGUUGCUGGGCCAGUGGCAAGAGAACUAUCUUCAAAUACUGACUGGCACAAUGAAAAUCGCGCAAGCGUUUUACACAAAGCGGCUAGGCACUUGGGGGCCCACGCAGCCGACCAUGGGGUCUUAAGCUCGGCAUUCUUGAAUUUAGGCUUGCUUGCUACCAAUGGGGCAACUCUUGGUGCUUGUACAGUUUCUAUCUAAUCGGGUGUCGACUUGACUGUGUGUCGUUUGGUUGCGCUAUGGUGGGCUGCCAAUGUGACUUGGUUUGCAAUAAUUGGCAGUGAGUAGGUCGGCUUUCCGAACGACCCGUCUUGAAACACGGACCAAGGAGUCUAAUUAGGCAUCAAGUCGAUCGGUCUUGAAUAGGCCAGACUCAGGGAGCAUCCUGGAUUGAAGGCGUAGAGACAAUCAUGUGAUCGUUGGGCAAAACAGUCCUUGCGCGCAACAUGUGCCUGUUCGUAUAGCAAUGUAGCAAUAAUUGCUGGGCGGAGCAAAGAGAUGUCUGAUUGGUACCCGAAAGAUGGUGAUGCCUGGGCAAGUUGAAGCCAGAGGAAACUCUGGUGGAGGACUGUAGCGAUUCUGACGUGCAAAUCGAUCGUCAGACCUGGGUAUAGGGGCGAAAGACUAAUCGAACCAUC